This 305-nucleotide ribosomal RNA is filed under the name uncultured bacterium. RNAcentral describes it as "partial 16S ribosomal RNA". It matches the Rfam family "Bacterial small subunit ribosomal RNA", at positions 508 to 807 of the family's 1533-position model. The record is from RNAcentral.
ACAGCAGUCGCCGCGGUAAUGCGUAGGUGGCAAGCGUUGUCCGGAAUUAUUGGGCGUAAAGGGCUCGCAGGCGGUUUCUUAAGUCUGAUGUGAAAGCCCCCGGCUCAACCGGGGAGGGUCAUUGGAAACUGGGAAACUUGAGUGCAGAAGAGGAGAGUGGAAUUCCACGUGUAGCGGUGAAAAGCGUAGAGAUGUGGAGGAACACCAGUGGCGAAGGCGACUCUCUGGUCUGUAACUGACGCUGAGGAGCGAAAGCGUGGGGAGCGAACAGGAUUAGAUACCCGCGUAGUCCCUGUCUCUUAUAC